AAAUAGCGGCUGCUUCUUUUCCAAGGACUUAUUUAAUGGGGAUGUGUUCAAGGCAAGACCGAAUUCAGAAGGAUAUCGACGUCGUGAUCCAGAAGUCCAGAGCUGAGGACUGCCUGUUUGCAGGAGUGAAGGCAAUUUUGAAGGCAUGACUACGACCUGCUCUGGCCACAAGAGCUAAGAGUUGCCAGGUGUGGUGGCUCAAACACUUUGAGAUGCCAAUCCCAACACUUUGAGAGGCCAAGGCAGGAGGAUUGCUUGAGGCUAGGAGCUUGAAACCAGCCUGGGCAACACAGUGAGACCCCAUCUCUACAAAAAAUAAAAAAACAGGCCAGGCGCAGUGGCACUUAGGGAGGCCAAGGUGGGUGGAUCACCUGAGGUCAGGAGUUCGAGACCAGCCUGACCAACAUGGAGAAACCCCGUCUCUACAAAAAAUACAAAGUUUGCCAGUGUGGUGGCACAUGCCUGUUAUCCCAGCUACUCAGGAGGCUGAGGCAGGAGAAUCGCUUGAACCCGAAAGGCAGAGGUUGCAGUGAGUGGAGAUCACGCCAUUGCACUCCAGCCUGCGCAACAAGAGUGAAACUCCAUCUCAAAUAAAUAAAUAAAAUAAAGUUUUAAAAAGUCAAAA
This 625-nucleotide long non-coding RNA is filed under the name Homo sapiens (human). The record is from RNAcentral. Lineage: Eukaryota; Metazoa; Chordata; Mammalia; Primates; Hominidae.